RNAcentral lists this ribosomal RNA (512 nucleotides) under uncultured bacterium. Its description in RNAcentral is "bacterial SSU rRNA". It matches the Rfam family "Bacterial small subunit ribosomal RNA", at positions 355 to 878 of the family's 1533-position model. The record is from RNAcentral.
UGGGGAAUAUUGCGCAAUGGGCGAAAGCCUGACGCAGCAACACCGCGUGAGGGAUGACGGCCUUCGGGUUGUAAACCUCUUUCAGCUCCGACGAAGCGAAAGUGACGGUAGGAGCAGAAGAAGCACCGGCUAACUACGUGCCAGCAGCCGCGGUAAUACGUAGGGUGCAAGCGUUGUCCGGAAUUAUUGGGCGUAAAGAGCUCGUAGGCGGUCCGUUGCGUCUGCCGUGAAAACCCGGAGCUCAACUCCGGGCCUGCGGUGGAUACGGGCGGACUAGAGUCCGGUAGGGGAGACUGGAAUUCCUGGUGUAGCGGUGGAAUGCGCAGAUAUCAGGAGGAACACCGGUGGCGAAGGCGGGUCUCUGGGCCGGAACUGACGCUGAGGAGCGAAAGCGUGGGGAGCGAACAGGAUUAGAUACCCUGGUAGUCCACGCCGUAAAACGAUGUCUGCUAGUCGUUGGGGAGCAUAGCUCUUCGGUGACGCAGCUAACGCAUUAAGCAGACCGCCUGGGG